Molecule: ribosomal RNA, 253 nt
Filed under: uncultured bacterium
Lineage: Bacteria
Description: partial 16S ribosomal RNA
Rfam family: Bacterial small subunit ribosomal RNA
Source: RNAcentral
UACGAAGGGGGCUAGCGUUGCUCGGAAUCACUGGGCGUAAAGCGCACGUAGGCGGAUUGCUAAGUCAGGGGUGAAAUCCUGGAGCUCAACUCCAGAACUGCCUUUGAUACUGGCGACCUUGAGUCCGGGAGAGGUGAGUGGAACUGCGAGUGUAGAGGUGAAAUUCGUAGAUAUUGGGAAGAACACCGGUGGCGAAGGCGGCGCUCUGGACCGAGACUGACGCUGAGGCGCGAAAGCGUGGGGAGCAAACAGG